Aethina tumida (small hive beetle) is the source of this 200-nucleotide long non-coding RNA. RefSeq lists it as uncharacterized. The record is from RefSeq and is a predicted model, not a curated record. Lineage: Eukaryota; Metazoa; Arthropoda; Insecta; Coleoptera; Nitidulidae. The transcript has 2 exons.
CCUUUGACUGUGAAUUUAACUGUGGGUUUAUCCAUUGCCCAAAUAAGGCGGCUUUAGGUUAUGAACGCGGCGAGGCGUUCUAAAAACUAAGAUUUCGUGUCCACGACCGAUAAAACUUCUAUUGUCUCGCGUUCCUAAGUGUGGUUUUUGUAUGGAUGCAUCUUCGGGGAUUUGACGAAGAGUUGUAUUGAUUUGGGGGG